RNAcentral lists this transfer RNA (75 nucleotides) under Candidatus Shapirobacteria bacterium CG09_land_8_20_14_0_10_49_15. Its description in RNAcentral is "tRNA-Ile". It matches the Rfam family "tRNA". From Rfam's summary of the family: Transfer RNA (tRNA) molecules are approximately 80 nucleotides in length. Their secondary structure includes four short double-helical elements and three loops (D, anti-codon, and T loops). The record is from RNAcentral. Lineage: Bacteria; Candidatus Shapironibacteriota.
GGAUCCGUAGCUCAACGGUUAGAGCGGUACUCUUAUAAAGUACAUACGAAGGUUCGAUUCCUUCCGGAUCCACCU